Long non-coding RNA from Ornithorhynchus anatinus (platypus), 1081 nucleotides. RefSeq lists it as uncharacterized. The record is from RefSeq and is a predicted model, not a curated record. The transcript is spliced from 6 exons. NCBI's taxonomy places the organism in Eukaryota, Metazoa, Chordata, Mammalia, Monotremata, Ornithorhynchidae.
CUCUGCCCUCAACUCUCUCCCAUGCUGCUGCUGCCCAGCACAGAAGCUUCUGAUCCUGUUACUGUUCCGGACCAAAUCACAAGCUAUCUAGCAGAUAGAGCCUCCUGUGUAAGCUGCUUGGCAACUAAAAAAAAAAAAACUGUUUGAACCCUGGACGUUUGCAGAGAGACCAAAGGCCAUUUUCCGAGAUGGAUGAAACCGGCUGAAUGUGUUGCAAUGACAGAAAUCCCUAUUUAACAUGUCAAAGUCAAGUCGAUUUAGGUUGGGGAUUGAGAGGCAGAGCGUAGAACGUUUCUUGCUCUCCACUGAGGGACAGUCAACGCAGAGUUUGCCAUACUAACGGAUCCUGUGACUAAUGAAAAUGGAGACAUGAAGCUGUCCAACAGCAGAGCAGUGCAAACCCUCACAUAAGGGCUGUGCUUAGUCCACUAAGGAGCACUUCCUCCUUCACUUCAAUGAUCUCUGUUGACUUCUGGGAGUUGCCUCGAAAACCCCUUCAAAAUAAAGUUUAACUUCAGGAGAUAUAAGUGAAUCAGCCUGACAACGACCCACAAUCAAUCAAGUCUUUCCUCCAAAAUACAGAAAAACAAAGAGGAACCUCUGAGGCAUCAGGAACCCAAGAGAAUCUUGGCAGUGGGAUAUUUCUCUCCAGCAAAAGGAAGAAGAAUUGGCUGUGGGAAGUCUUUGGAAUAACCUAUGUAUCAGGAAAGUUUCAGUCAGGGAACCAGCAGAAAUUGCUCCAGGAAAGGGGCAGCCAUUGAAUAAAAGACUGCGCUGAAGAAAACUGAGGUGAAUUACACCUGGGAGCAAACCACAUGGAAAAUCUGAAGAAGUCAGAGGUCGUCAGUUGUUCACAUGCUGAAGAGCACUCAGAGCCUCAUUCUAUGAUAUCAGGUAGUCGUGCAGCCCUUUCUUGUCUACAUUCUCCUUAUAAAACACCCCAAAGGAAAAGGAAUCGCCUCCCCCAGGCUAGGCUCAAAGGAUUAGCACAUGUCUGCCUUAGUAUAAUUAAUGUGAGAAAUGAUAAAAUACAAAUUUGACCAGUGAAUUAAUAAAAAUGUUUUGUGAGGUAUGUUCUAGA